AUGUCAUUCAGAACAAUACCAGUGAUGUUGUGCUAGGACAUGGAGGACAAAGGCUGGACUCCCUGCAGCCUGUCAUUCAGAGGCUGGUGGCUGUCAAUUUGUGUCAACUCAUCUCCUAGUAUUUUUGGGGGCAGGUCAGCCAGCCCAUUCAUUCUCUUGCCCCAGGACUAUUGUAGGACCAUAUAGGUGCCAAAGAGACAGAAUGAGCUUAAUUUUCCAGACUGAGGUUCACGGUUACACUGGUAAAUUAAAUCCCCAAAUACAGGUGAUGGCACUUGGCCUGGUCUGCCCAGGUUUCAGCUGUGUGGCUGCCCCCUCCACCUCUCCCUGUGAGUGCUUGAGGCCCAUGGCUUUGGUCUGCUCUGAGGAGCGCUUCACAGAGGAUGCUGGAAGCACUUGGGGAGCGUGGGGGUAUCAGACCUCCGGACAGAUGUUGUGACCUCUGGAAGUCAGCCUGCCUUUUGGGCUGUCAAGGCCAGCUCCUGAGACUGAGCCGUGAAACUGAGCCUCCUGCAGGAGCCCGGGACACCUUCCGUUCCUAGUAGACUCCAUCACGUCCAUGAGGCAGCAUUCUGUACCAAAGGGAGGGAGGACGGGAAGGAGGAAAGGCAUCCUUGUGGGUCAGAGGCUUGGGAAAGGGGCGGGGAGCCCAGGGCCUUGGGGAUCACCCAAGGCCUUGGGGAUGGGAAAGAACCAGAGCUGUCUGAUCGUUUCCACCGUGUAGAGGCGGUACAGUUGGUGUCACUUUGGGCUGGUUUGGUUUCUUACAUCAAACACUUCCCUUGCUAAUAAGCUCACAGAGCUCUGUUCCUCUCUUUAGAAGAGUGUGUAGGUGACGUAGCUCUGGCAGCCGUUUCCUGUGUUUUUUCAACUCUAGCUUUUUCAUCUCCCCACACCUCUCGGUUACAGAUUCUGAUUCUUCAGACUCACUCCUCUCCUUCUCACCUCCUUGUGUAGGUCCUUCUAAAAAGCUCAGUGCCAACCUCCUGCCAUUGAUUGAGCACCACUUGUGUGCCAGGUGUGUGUUCAGCAUCAUCCAGGCACUUAUUUAAUCUUCCUAGCAGGUUUAGCUAUACAGCUUCAGUUUACAAAUGAGCAAACAAGCCCAGAGAGAUUUAGCAACUUGCUCAGGGGUACACAGCUUCUUAUAAGUGGUGGAACUGGGAUUUGAGCUUCUUUCUAUCCAUCUGAUCCCAAAAGCUGUGCCCCCAGCAUGGCCUCCUGGCACUGCCCUGCUCUGCAAGGUGAGAGGCAGCUCUUCAAAUCUCACUUUUGUAUCUGUGAUGUUGGUGAAGGGGAAUGAGCAUGCCUUCAGCAGCUGCUUCCAGAGAGUGACAGGACCACACUAUCAAGGGCUUCAGGUGUUUGCUUUUGGCAGAAGUUCCUCCAGGCCUUCCUGUUGCUCCAAGCAGGCUGUCAGGGAGCCUUUACCCUCCUCUAGGGAGGCAGCUGCUAUUUCCAGCUCAGUGAUUUGAGCAGGCCUCCCAAAGAAAGUGUUAUUGCAAACCUGGCCUUUAUCCCUCCCUGUUCCAGGGACUGCAACUCCUGGCUCUAGCUGGAGAUCUAGAUUGCAAGAUAAGGAAAGAGCUGGGCCAAUUUUCUGGUCACUUCUUGGCACCAAACUCUCAUGUUUUUACAGCAACCACAGGCCCUACAUCCUUCCUGGAGAACACAAGCAAACUCACCUCUCCCCACUUUCCCAGCCCCUGGAGGCGGCUGUUUUGAUUUGCUAUGCUCACAGCCUCCCUUCACUGGGCAGGGGCUUCCAUAUGGCCCAGGUUAGAAGAGGAUGAUUUCCAGGGGGCUCCUGGAAAUGUGUUUCAGGUGGGCUCCUGGGCAUUUGGCCUGUCUACUGCCUCUUCGUCUCUGUUUGCUUUGCCUGAUUGUGUUUUCUCUGCUGAUUUGUCUAAGUUUCUUUCCCUCACUUUGUCCAAGGUGCAUCUGGUACCCAUUUGGCUGGGAGAGAGCAGAAGCAGCGUGGUUAAUUGAAUGCUUGGCACAGGGCUGCAAGAAGCAAACCGAGGAGAAAGGCAAGGGCUAGAAGGGCAAGGAGAAUGUGGUUGAUUGGAGCCUUUGCACAGCGCAGAAAUUCUGCAACCUCCCUGGUUUCUGUCCAGAAAGAAAGCCUCAAGAAGGUGAAAGGAAGGACUUUGAGUCAUUCUGAAACUUGAUGGCAACUCCUGCUUCAGUGGAAGCCCCACCAUGGCCCAUCCUUCUCUCACAAGGCCCGUGGCUUCUGGGCAGGUGGCCAGGGUACCACCAGGCCCUGCUUGCUGGGAGGGAAGAAUGAAAGGGCUAGAAAAGAUCACCUGUGUCUCUAUUCUUGUUUUCAUCUAGUUUGUAGUCUGGCCUCUGGUUGUACAGCAGGAGUUUUGGCUCAGGACCUUGGUCUGGUGCCAGAAUGCCAAGUAGAAGUGAAACAGCACCACUUGGAAUCCCCAUUUCUGGCAGGGCCCCAGGGCCAGCCCAGCCGCAGCAGGGGAGACUCUCGGCCCAGUUACCUGCCUGUCUGUGCCUCAGACUUUGAGAGACCAAAAAAAGCACAGAGUUUGAAUCUCACAUUGGGCUCCUAUUUGAUAUAUGCCAUCCAAAUAAGUGCCUGUUCAUUUUGGGCCUCAGUGUCCCCAUCUGUAAAAUGCAACACAUCACAUUGUUCUGAAGAGUAAAUGAAAUGAUUCAAAACACGCAUCAGUUCUGCAUCUCAUUAAAGACUCCACAUAUAUUACUUCAUUCACUUCACACAGCCCUAGGAGGAAGGACUAUUGUUUUAUGGAGAAGCAGAGAUGGGAUAGGCUGGGAUCUGGCACCCUUGACCAGCGUGCGUGCACCCGGACAAAGUCUUCUCCAGCAACAGCAUAUAAAGAAACUAUAAGGGAAUACAAGUAACCACACAUGUGCAGUUGUGGCAAUUAUGAACAACAGGCCACAAACCAACAGCCAUUUUUUAGAUUCCAGGAGCAAAAGCAGAGUACUGCCCAGGGCACCACCAAGGGGGUGGGUUGACUACAUACGUUAUGCCCCCUGCCCAACCUGCAGACCUACCCCCAUCGUUAUCCCACCCAAGUGGCUACUCUCCAGGCCUGAGCAAGGGCACCUGUUUUCUGUUUUUGCUCCUUUGUGCUGCAUCACAAGCCCCAAUAAAGCCUUGCCUGAAAUUCUUACCUGGUCUGUUAUCAAUUUUGAUUGAUUAAAAGAGCCUGGAUGGGUAACAGAAGCUAAUGACACAUCCAUGGUCUCACAGCCAGGAAGUGGCAGGGGUGGCAGAGCCCAGACUCCAGGUGGGGUGUCUGGCCCAGACCCUGCACAUCUAGGCCAUGCUCUCCUGCCUCUAGGUAAGCGGGGAAGCUCCUGGUGCCUGGUGGGAAGACACACACUGAACGCCAGCCCUUUCUGUCACUGCCUCGGGCUGUGGAGCUGCUCAGGGAGUUACCCUGGUUGCUCUCUGGAAGGACAGUGACAUGGAGACCAGCAAACAAAGCACAAGAACGAGUGAAAAAAGAGGAGGCUGGGUCAGGAAGGACAUGCAAGACGCUGACACAAGCAAGGUCAGUGGGGAACCCCUGGAGUUGGGGCAUGGGAACUGGGUCCUCCCUGGCCUGGGCCCUCAGGGGAUGCUCUGGAAAUCCACACAGUCUCUUUCUGACCGGGUCUGAGGAGUUGGCGAGGUCAGACUGCUGGUCCUCUGAGCAUCUCUAGGUUUAGGGCUCCUCCAGCCCAUUGCUCCUGCCCAGCUGCCUUUCAGAGGAUGCGCUUGCUCCCCAGACUUGUCUGCUGUCCCUGCCUCUCCUUAAUGAGGGCGAGUCAGGAGUUCCCAUCGUGGCGCAGUGGUUAACGAAUCCGACUGGGAACCAUGAGGUUGAGGGUUCACGCCCUGGCCUUGCUCAGUGGGUUGACGAUCCUGCAUUGCCGUGAGCUGUGGUGUAGGUCGCAGACGCGGCUCGGAUCCCACGUUGCUGUGGCUCUGGCAUAGGCUGGUGGCUACAGCUCCGAUUUGACCCUUAGCCUGGGAAUCUCCAUAUGCUGUGGGAGCGGCCCAAGAAAUGG
RNAcentral lists this long non-coding RNA (4044 nucleotides) under Sus scrofa (pig). RNAcentral describes it as "lncRNA (ENSSSCG00000057212.1)". Lineage: Eukaryota; Metazoa; Chordata; Mammalia; Artiodactyla; Suidae. The record is from RNAcentral.